AUUGAACGCUGGCGGCAGGCCUAACACAUGCAAGUCGAACGGUAACAGGAAGAAGCUUGCUUCUUUGCUGACGAGUGGCGGACGGGUGAGUAAUGUCUGGGAAACUGCCUGAUGGAGGGGGAUAACUACUGGAAACGGUAGCUAAUACCGCAUAACGUCGCAAGACCAAAGAGGGGGACCUUCGGGCCUCUUGCCAUCGGAUGUGCCCAGAUGGGAUUAGCUAGUAGGUGGGGUAACGGCUCACCUAGGCGACGAUCCCUAGCUGGUCUGAGAGGAUGACCAGCCACACUGGAACUGAGACACGGUCCAGACUCCUACGGGAGGCAGCAGUGGGGAAUAUUGCACAAUGGGCGCAAGCCUGAUGCAGCCAUGCCGCGUGUAUGAAGAAGGCCUUCGGGUUGUAAAGUCCUUUCAGCGGGGAGGAAGGGAGUAAAGUUAAUACCUUUGCUCAUUGACGUUACCCGAAGAAGAAGCACCGGCUAACUCCGUG
This 490-nucleotide ribosomal RNA is filed under the name uncultured bacterium. RNAcentral describes it as "partial 16S ribosomal RNA". It matches the Rfam family "Bacterial small subunit ribosomal RNA", at positions 30 to 507 of the family's 1533-position model. The record is from RNAcentral.